UACGUAGGGUGCAAGCGUUACUCGGAAUUACUGGGCGUAAAGCGUGCGCAGGCGGCUUUGCAAGACAGAUGUGAAAUCCCCGGGCUUAACCUGGGAACUGCAUUUGUGACUGCAUGGCUGGAGUGCGGCAGAGGGGGAUGGAAUUCCGCGUGUAGCAGUGAAAUGCGUAGAUAUGCGGAGGAACACCGAUGGCGAAGGCAAUCCCCUGGGCCGGCCCUGACGCUGAGACGCGAAGGCGUGGGGAGCGAACGGG
This 253-nucleotide ribosomal RNA is filed under the name uncultured bacterium. Its description in RNAcentral is "partial 16S ribosomal RNA". It matches the Rfam family "Bacterial small subunit ribosomal RNA", at positions 524 to 776 of the family's 1533-position model. The record is from RNAcentral.